CUAACAUCAGCUCUGAGGACAGAGGAGAAUAUUACUGUGAGGCCCAGAAUGGAAGAGGAUCUAUGAACUCUACAGCUCUGAUGAUCAUUGUAGCAGGGAAACAAACCUCAGUUGUGACUGCAGCUGUAGGAAUCAUAGUUGUUGUUCUGGUUCUCAUCCUCUGUUUCUCUGGACUCAUGUGGUUCAGGUGAGUUUUUUUGUUGUUUAUUAUUUCACUUUAGAAGAUUAAAUAAUUCAUUCAUUCAUUCAUUUGUUUACAAAACAGGAAUAAAGCCUCCAAAUCCACCUCUGACACAAGAGGCACAGCAGACGAUGGACAGGGAGACUCUAGUCCAGUGUAUGACAACAUCUCAGGCAUGGUCAUGACCUCUACUGCAGCACAGACAGCAGCCACAGACGACCAGGAUGAUGUUCACUACGCCAGCGUCCACUUCUCUCGUUCCAAAAACCAGGAAGUGCCUCUGUACUCCACCGUCCAAGUGCCUCAGCCCCAGAAAGAGGAUGAGGAUGUCCAGUACGCUGCUCUGAAUUUCAACCUCCCAGUGCUGCCACCCGCAGCACAAGCAGAUGAGGAGGACUCCUCUGUUCUCUACAGUACAGUCAACAAACCCUGAACCAAGAAGACCUGAACGCAACAAACGCAGAACCAAGAAGACCUGAACACAACAAACCCAGAAAGAAGAAGACCUGAAAAGAACAAACCCAGAAAGAAGACCUGAACAGAACACGUUUGACAAAAACCUUGUAUAUCUUCACCUGUAUAUUUAAACUAAGUGAUAUAAUGCCUGUGGAGGUGUGGAAUAUUGACCAUUAUAAACCAGAUGGUUUGAGCCGUGAAUGCUGAUUAGCUGAAAGGCGUGGUAUACCAGAUCGUAUACCAUGGGUAUUUAAAUUUGUAUUUACUGGUCUAAGUAC
Molecule: long non-coding RNA, 915 nt
Organism: Salvelinus namaycush (lake trout)
Lineage: Eukaryota; Metazoa; Chordata; Actinopteri; Salmoniformes; Salmonidae
Exons: 4
Source: RefSeq, a predicted model, not a curated record